RNAcentral lists this ribosomal RNA (738 nucleotides) under uncultured Acidobacteriota bacterium. RNAcentral's name for it is "bacterial SSU rRNA". It matches the Rfam family "Bacterial small subunit ribosomal RNA", at positions 60 to 800 of the family's 1533-position model. The record is from RNAcentral. Lineage: Bacteria; Pseudomonadati; Acidobacteriota.
AGUCGAGUGCGCGUCUGUAGCAAUACAGAUGGCGCACGGCGCACGGGUGCGUAACACGUGGGCAAUCUGCCCUUCGAUGGGGAAUAUCUUCGGGAAACCGAAGCGAAUUCCGCAUAACAUUCCUUGGACUUCGGUUUGGGGACUCAAAGCCGUAAGGCGUCGAAGGAGGAGCCCGCGCACGAUUAGCUAGUUGGUAGGGUAACGGCCUACCAAGGCUUUGAUCGUUAGCUGGUCUGAGAGGAUGGCCAGCCACACUGGAACUGAGACACGGUCCAGACUCCUACGGGAGGCAGCAGUGGGGAAUCUUGCACAAUGGGCGAAAGCCUGAUGCAGCGACGCCGCGUGGGGGAUGAAGCAUCUCGGUGUGUAAACCCCUUUCGACCCGGAAGAAUGCCUCGCAAGAGGACUGACGGUACGGGUAUAAGAAGCCCCGGCUAACUACGUGCCAGCAGCCGCGGUAAGACGUAGGGGGCCAGCGUUGUUCGGAAUUACUGGGUGUAAAGGGUUCGUAGGCGGUGCGGCAAGUUGGGAGUGAAAUCUCUGGGCUCAACCCAGAGGCUGCUUCCAAAACUGCUGUGCUUGAGUGUGGGAGAGGCGCGUGGAAUUGCAGGUGUAGCGGUGAAAUGCGUAGAUAUCUGCAGGAACACCCGUGGCGAAAGCGGCGCGCUGGACCACUACUGACGCUGAGGAACGAAAGCUAGGGGAGCAAACAGGAUUAGAUACCCUGGUAGUCCUAGC